This 5771-nucleotide long non-coding RNA is filed under the name Malus domestica (apple). Its description in RNAcentral is "long non-coding RNA (MDOM_LNC003362)". Lineage: Eukaryota; Viridiplantae; Streptophyta; Magnoliopsida; Rosales; Rosaceae. The record is from RNAcentral.
AGAUGUUUUUAUAUAUAUAUCCUUUUGCAAUGGAAAUUUUUUCCUUUUUGUAUCAAUAAAAUCUCGUUAUGCAAUCAUUUUUUGAACCUCUUUUUCAUCAUAAGAUUACGAAUUUAUUUAUCAGGCCAUGUCCAAUGCAUCAGCAGGUUUGAACUUAAAAUGUUAUAUUUGAGUCCAAAUAACAAUCUUUUUCACUACAAUGCAGUGGAAAGUUAAAACCUAUAUAAAAAUUUUAGUCAAUUUAAAACUAAUAUUUGAGUUUCAUCUAAGGUGGAGCUCAUACCUACAAGGAAAAAUGUUAUUUCAACAAGAAGAACAACAUUUGCGUUUUGGAACCAACCAUCUCCCAAUCCACAUUCUCAAAUUUGAGUUCUAAAUCCAACAUUUUCUCCUCAAAUGCACAUACUUAAUGUUAUAAGUCAAAUUUGAGUUUAAAAUUUUGCCUUUGAGAUAGCCUUAGCCGUGCAUAAUAAACCAUUUCAGAAAGAAGAGGCUCAUCACAUAAAACAUUACUAAAUCCUAGCUUUAUUUUAUUUUACGACUUACACAAAUAUUAAGCAUACAAGGUCGAAUUUUAACAUUAAUUACAUAAAAGGUUUAGAACAUUCAUCAUUAAUUACAUAAAUAUUAAGCAUACAAGGUCGAAUUUUUAACAGAGCCAUCAAAAUUCAUCUCGACGAACGGUGGUUUGGGAACAUUUAUGAUUUUUUUCUAGUAAGUAGAAUGGCAAUGUACAAGUUUUUAAGUUGCCUAUAGAUCAUUUCCUCCUCCUGCACUUGAUUUUGUAUAGUGGUUAGGUCCACGUACGGAGCCACCUUAGGCUCAGAGGGGGCGGAUGCCCCCACUCAUUUUUGUGUGUGGGAAAAAAAAAGUAGUCUUUCAAUUGUUCGUGGCAUUAAUAUUAACUUUUUCAUGUGCUAUUUUUAUUGUUGAAAGAGCAUUUUCGGUCAUAAAAUUUAUGAAAAUCGAUAAUGAAAUUGUAUGAGAGACUAAUGGAAAAAUGAUAACAUGGUUAUUUUUGUAGAAAGAGAUGUUUGAUGGUAUUGGUAAUAAGGUUGUUAUGUAACGCUUUCAAAACAUAAAAACACAUCGAUGGAUAUUGUGAUAUGUUGUAUGAAAAAUUUUAUGGACUAAUAUAUAAGUGUUUUGUUUAGUAUAUCCUUGAACUUUUUAAUUUGUGAUUUUGUUGUUUAAAGAUGCCCCAUCCAUGUAGAUUUCUGGCUUCGUCCUUGGUUAGGUCCAUAUUAAAUAUGUAUCGUUGUGUCAAUUUUGUUUACUGUUUUUGUAGGGUUGAAUUUGAUUUGUCAUCUAACUUAUUGGAAAUAUAUUAAUUUUCAUUGUAUUUAGUUUAUAGCAUUAUUCUUCAAAUGGGUUUGUUUCCUUGUUUGCUUACUAGCAUUAGACGAGCAGAUUCUGGCUUUGAAACAACGACAUUGAUGCUUUUUACUCCUUUUCACACAAUAAGUGCAUGAAAAUUAUGUAGACAUUGAAAUUUGAAGUGUGAAGUGAUGAAAAGAAGGUGUGUUUCUAACUCAAACAUACAUAUUUUUUGGGUUGCAUAUGAAAAAAGGAUUUAUAUGGCACGAAUACACUAUUAUCAUGACAUUCUAUGACAAUAAUAUAACAAUAUGUCUGAGUUUCUCUUUACAACGUCGUAUCAUGUACAAAUAAAACCACAAUAACUUUGUAACUGCGUCAUGUAAACUACUCUCAUAUAUAUGAUUGCAUGCUCUGCCUUUCCUUUCGAAAAGGAAAACGAACAGUAUUUGAUAAAUGAUAUUCAAGCAUACUUGUCCACAAGUCCCAGUCGGUAAGUAUACAACAAGAAGAAUGUAAAUUAUUGUCACACAAAAAGGGAUCCAAAAGUUUCAAGAAAAUUUGACCCCAAACGUAAUACUUUCGCCUUUUUCAAUGAGGGAAAUAAAAAAAAUACGAUAAUUUUUUUUGGCUUUCCCCAUCUAAAUAGUAUUUAGUAGAGGUGGCAAAUCAACAUUUUGAGUUGUUAAUAAGUAACUAUUAACACCUGUUUAGUUUAAUUUCACGUUACAUCAUUAGGACCACUACCAAUCACAUUUAUAUAUUACGAUGAUAUCAAAUUAAACAGAUGUUAACAGAUAUUUGUUAACAACCUAAUAGGCUGAUUUGCCACCUUAGUAUCUCAUAUAGAAAAAUAGCAUUUUAGUAUAUAUGAAGAUUAUUUACACUUAAUUUUCAUAGUGUUCUUGUACAAAAAAGCUUUAUUGUCUAUUUAUUAGAUUAUCUUCGAGAUAUAUUUUGUUCAUAACUGCAACAUAUAUGAUUUGAUCAGUGAUCCGUGAAUGAUUUACAUAUCAUCAAAUUUUAGGACAAGAAAUUGCAAAGAGUUUAGAUGAGAUAUAGAAAAAGGAGACUAAUAUUUUAUAUCUAUUUAGAAUUUUAACUUGCUCAAUGAGUCAAUGGUCAUGGUCUUCUGUUUUAGAGCAAUAAUAACAUCGAAGGUUUAAGUGGUGGAUUGACUUGGUAGUUAAGGUCUUUUAUUUUAUUUUACUGUGCUUUGGGUUCAAACUUACCCUCAUUCUUAUUCCUUAGAGCAUUUCCAAUAAAAGAUGCGAAAUAUCUUGAAAUUAGCAUUUUGCAUUUCUUGUUGACUGGAAAGCUUUCUAGUGCUGGUAUGUAAAAUACUCAUCUUCAUCGGAAGAUGUUAAUAACAAUAUAUAUUUACAUCUUCAAGAGGUGGACUCCUCUAGUUCAAGAGAGAAAAGUAACUGAGACCCCGAAUCUACAUAUCUCAUAUUCAAGCAUAACUCAUAAUUACAUCUCCCAAAAAACGUAAAAUGAGAUAUAAAUGUGGCUUUUACAACUAUACGUCCAUAAUCUGCCCUUAUGUUUUCAAGAUGACAAUGUUGAAAAAGUAAAAAAGAAGACGACGAGUGGUACUUAAUAAAGAUUCACCUAGAGUGUGUGUGUAUUUUCAUAUAGUUUGUUUACCAUUAUCUUUGGAACUAAUAGUUUUUAUUUUAUUUUAAAAAGAUUAAAAAAAUAAUUGGUUACUAAAAUUUGAUUUUACCCAUCUUUUACAAAUAGUUUAAAGGUAAUCAAAAUUUUAUUUUAUUUUAAAAAGAUUAAAAAAAUAAUUGGUUACUAAAAUUUGAUUUUACCCAUCUUUUACAAAUAGUUCGAUUUUGGAAAUUUUUCGGUUUGGUUUGAAAUUAUUGGUAUUUUUUUCCAGCCCUAAAAAUCAUAAUCUAAAAAAAGUUGUACUCUCUCACCAUUCUCAAUUAAAUAACAAAUAUGAGGUCAGUAGGAUGCACUUGUCAAAAAAUAAAAGUAACAUACACUUGUCAAAUCAUAAUUUUGAAAAAAGACAAAUAGUACUUAACUCAAGAACUCUCUAGAAAACAGCUCUUUAGUUUUUGUUUAUUUCUUUAUCAGAAGAUGAAAAUCGACUAUUAAAGUAGAAAAUUAUAAGUUCUCAAAAUUUUAUUUUACCUUGUAAAUCAUCCUUUUACGUUAUUUAAUUUUUUUUUCUUCUUUUUGUUUUGGGGGUUUUUUGGCUGCCCAACCAACGUUCUAAUAGCUACUUAUGUUAUUCGUCGUUACUGUUCAUGAGAUUUGAGUUUCGAACAUCCUAGAGAAGAAUUAGAUAUAUCAUCAUAUAUACGAAAACUCAGUUUCCCCCGGCAAUGUUCACCAGCAGUGAAAGGGCGAUAUUGCCCUCGGUUUCUUCUUUGCUCCGCGUACUGUUUCCUAUUUUCUACAGUGCAAAGUCGGUUAUGCCCUUCCCAACCACGCGUCUUUCAUCGUUUGUUUCUCUGCUUCGGCCGCGUCUUUUUUGCUUUACCCUUCCUCUUCGUUUUUCACUUCAUGAGUCUCUGAUUUUCUCCCACUUCGUCAGCCCGUCGUUUGCUCUCAAAUCCUUUCUUUAUCUUUCACAAAAUUGUCUCAAAAGAGAUCCAGCGUUUGAUUUUCUUUGGGAUUUAGUUUCCAGUCUCUAAUUUGUUUGGUUAGCAAUAGAAUAAUCGAAUGAGAUUGAUCUCAAGCUAUGAUUGAAAAACAUGUACAAUGCUAUUUAUCUAUAAUUUUCUGAUUAGUGCCAAACAUAAUCACUGUCUUAUUUUUGUAUAUGCAGGAUGAAAAAGAUAUUCUUUGCAAGCAUCACACAAAGGCCAUCAUUUAUUCCGUAUGAAAACCACAUGUUAAUUCAGUUUUAAUUGGUUUUUCAUUUAUUUAAAAUAAAACAUCUCAAAUAAUAUAUCCAUAUCUGCAUUCACUCUGUCACAAUGUUUGUUCUAGCGUCUAUUUGUGUUUUUCAGGUUUUCCAUUACACUACAAUAUCGGUAUUUGAUUUUCGUAUUUGAUGAACUGUUGACCUCCCAUUGGUCAAAUUGUCUAGGAGCUUCCAUAGGACCUGCUCUGUGCUGUUCCUUCGUGGUAACCUCCAUUGGGGAUGAAAAAACUGCAGACCACAAUGUAGCUUCCAUAGGACCUCUGUACUAUACAGAAACAGCGAACUAAACGUAUCUGAUCCAUUUUUGUAUACCGUUUCCUUCUAUUAACAAUGUUAUUAUUCAAUUUGAUUAAACAAUGCUUUGGUUAUAGAUCAAAUUAUUUUUCCAAAGAUGGAUCGGUAUAAGAUUUUCGAUUAGAACCAACAUGAUUACAUUAGUGAUAAGACAGAAACUAUGCAAUUACUAUUUGCUAAAUAUAUGAGGUUCCUAAGGAAAAAUGCUAAAGCAUAUUGUUAGCCUAGAUUUAUAUUUCUUAUUACUUUCGUGCAAUGUUUGAUUCCUAACUUACCAGUUCUGAAAACAAUUUUAUACAUACAAAUUUAUUCCUGCUUACUGUUAUUUUACAGCAUAACCAGUUUUGUGUAAAGCAUUGCCUCCAAUCAUCAUUCAUUUCAAGGUACACCAUUCUAGCACCAUCUUUUAUUUGCUUUGAUAAAAUUAUUUGUCAGCUGUUUAACUUAUUAACAAGAACAAUAUUAUUUUUACCCUUAGUUAACUAUUAAAUACCUAAACACUUUCAUCCGUGAUAACUGUCAAUUUACACACUUAACAACCUUCACAAACUCACGUUUGAAUCAACAUUUUUUUACACCCCACAACACAAAUUUAGCCUUUGCAUUACAAAUACAUUGUUUCUUACAAUUGCUCCAUUGCCAAAACAAAGCUGAACCAUCGGUUAUUUCUAUAUUUUUAUUCAUUCCUGUAAAUACGAUGAAUUCACAUACAUGUUUGUAAAACUUUAUGCAAAUUUUAUGCAUACACUUUUAAAACCCGCAGCAACGCGCGGGCACAAUUACUAGUAUGCUACUAAAUAUGACUGUUGACGAAUAGGCAGAUAGGGGUAGAAAUGUACAUUCUUGUUAGAGAUCUGUGAGCUAUGAAUGUUAUAAGAUUUGAUGUACUUAUAAUUAUCUGAAAAACAUGUAUAAUUUUGAGACAAAUAUUAGCAUUUUUAUGAAAUUUCCUAGCCGGUUUCCUAGUUGGUAAACUAAAACUAAUAGAACAAUUUUUGUUUAUUAAAAAAGAAAUUUCUUAAAAAGGAAUAUAUCAAUAUGUAAAUCAUGGCAAAACCUUUAAUUAUCUCAUUGUCUGUUAAUAAUAGUGUUAAUGCGUGGACCUUUUAGACCCAUUACAAUAAUGUAUAGUUGUUUGGACAUGAUAGAUGGGUCUUGAAAGAGCCACAAAAGGAUGAAAGGAUUAAGACAUUAGGCUUAUAAGCCGACCCAAAAAAUUCAGCAGACAUAGUCCUAUCACUAGGGAUGGGCAAUGGUUAUGGUGGACGGG